This is a non-coding RNA of Sus scrofa (pig), 488 nucleotides long. The record is from RefSeq and is a predicted model, not a curated record. NCBI's taxonomy places the organism in Eukaryota, Metazoa, Chordata, Mammalia, Artiodactyla, Suidae.
GGCCGCGCCACCGUUUUGCACCCGGAACCCUGGUCGAGGGGCGGGGCCGAGGGCUCUGGGCGGGGCCGAGGGCUCUGCGCGCGGCCGCUGUGAGGCAGAGGGUCUCAGCACAGGCGGAGAGAAGAAGCCCCACACGGUUUACACACAGGAGUGGAGUGUCGUCACAAGCUGAGGCUCAGCAGUCCUCGCUGACGAAGUGGCCACGAGGAGGGACAGGACUAAGCACCAUCCCAGGGCUCCUUCCUCUCAGAAGCAACAUCAUGUUUUAUUAACACGGGCCCAGAGCCGUCUGGCUCAGAUGUGCACUUAGAAACAGCAAAUUGAGAAGAAGCUGCCUUGCUAGACUUCGUAUAAACUUCAUACGAAUGUGUCCAUGUAUGAGUGGCUGUGUUUCUACUUCAGCCCUUUAAGUAUAAGACAGCAAGUCUUUCUUCCUUCCCCCCCAAAAUAAUAAUAAUAAUAAUAAAGAUUAAUUUUAAAUCCUCCAA